GUUCUAGGUUAGUGUUGACUUAGUGGCAUCAUUCGUUCACACUCCAACGCGAGUUGCAGCGACGAAGUAUUCUGCUUCUGGAAUACCUCUUUCCAAGGACCACACGCGUAAAUAGUCUGCUGUGAAAACAGAUUACUGGGGUGACUGCGUCCGUUUGUUCGUAAUUAUACUGAAUUGCAACAUGAAGCGAUCCCGUCAAAUUGGCCUUUUAACACGGGUGGCCGUGGUGGUGCUCCUGGCCACUUCAGCAGAUACCAUGCGACGCAAGUAUGAAGCUCGCAAGCACUGGUGGGACCUCGCGCAGAACGAGCUGGCGGCCGCCCUCAAUGUUCGAGACAACUGGAACGUGGCGAAGAACGUGAUCAUUUUCCUGGGCGACGGCAUGGGCAUCACCGCCAACACCGCCGCCAGGAUCUUCAAGGGCCAGAAAAAGGGCAUGAACGGCGAGGAGGGCUAUCUCACUUGGGAGAGAUUCCCUAACGCGGCGCUGCUCAAGACCUACAACGUGGACAAACAGGUUCCGGACAGUGCAGGCACGGCCACGGCCUACCUGUGUGGAGUCAAGGCCAAUUAUUACACACUCGGUGUCGACCCGGAGGUGACCCUCGGAGACUGUGCGGCGGCGAGGAACCCUAUCUAUCACACACCGUCCAUCCUGCAGUGGGCGCAGGAAGCCGGCAAGGACACAGGUUUUGUGACCACGACCCGCGUCACGCACGCCACGCCCGCGGCCCUGUACGCCCACUCCGCCCACCGAAACUGGGAGUGCGACGGCAAUCUAGGUCAGAUGGGCAUCGGCUGCAAGGACAUCGCGGAUCAGCUGGUGUCAGAAAACCCUGGCAGGAAUAUCAAGGUGAUCCUAGGAGGCGGCCGCCAGUCCUUCGGUGCGAGCACGGGGCCCGUGAAUAAGGACACAUGCACUCGCCGUGACGGCCGUGACCUUACCCGGGAGUGGCUCAGUGACAAAGUGCAACGAGGCCAUAGCGCUGCUUAUGUCACCAGUGCCGGGGAACUGGCCAACGUCGACGUGGACGAUACUGACUUCCUCCUGGGUCUGUUUUCCGACACUCACGUCCCGUUCGAGGUUGACCGCGUGAACGGCCCCACAGGCUCCCCCUCGCUCGCCCAGAUGGCUACCAAGGCCAUCAAGUUCCUCCAGAAGAGCGACAACGGAUUCUUCCUCCUGGUUGAGGGCGGCCGCAUCGACCACGCCCUGCACGACAACCUGCCCCACCGCGCCCUCGAGGAAGCAGUCGCCCUUGAUAGUGCAGUCGCUGCCGCUCUCGAGGAAGUGGAUCUGGAGGACACGUUGGUGGUGGUGACGGCCGACCACUCUCACGUCAUGACGAUUAACGGGUACCCCGAGCGUGGAAAUGAUAUUCUUGGUCUAACCGGUGACAUCUCCAAGAUUGAUAAUAUGCCCUACACGACGCUCAUGUUCACCAAUGGACCCGGUUUCAACUACACCACAGACGGGAGCAGGGUAAUCCGUCAUGAUCCCCGCACUGUGGACACGCGACAUGUAAACUACCGCAGUCAGGCCGCCGUGCCACUCCCGCCCAUUUCCGAGACGCACGGAGGAGAGGACGUCGGAGUCUGGGCCGCAGGACCUAUGGCUCACCUCUUCCACCGCACUCACGAGCAACACUACGUUGCCCACGUCAUGGCCUACGCCGCCUGCGUCGGCCCCAGCGCCGGCAAAAGGUGCGAGAGGCCAUCCCACGCCUCCUUCACUAGACCGCCGGUGCCUCAGGCCGUCGCCACCGCUACUGCAACAGCCACGUCGUCUAUAGGUGUCGCGGUUGCUUCGGCGGUGGCUUCCGGACAAGCGCCGUCCGUGCCCUUCGUAGGACCGAAAUUCCCCACGUUAUCGCCGGUUCUACAACAGCUCAUUGAUGAUAACGAGCGCAAGAUCGUGACGACCUUAGGCUCAGAGUCUGUGUCCAGCUUCACCUCAGCCGAAGACGUCCGGAGGCUCCUGGGGCAGAGUGUGCUUCAGCCCCACAGCAUGUAGUCAGGCAGCUCAGGGGCGCCGCCGCCACACCAUUACCUGUGUAAGGUGGACGCGUACACGUAUUCUUGCAUUGGAUUAUCGGUUUAUUAGGGCGAGACGUGCAGGGACGAACGCACAAGCCCGGAGUCAGUACGAAGGCAGGAUUCCGGCCCCAAGAUAUCAUCGGCCUCGACGCCCUCACCAGCAUCCCGCACAGUCUGUAGACAUCGCCU
Molecule: unclassified non-coding RNA, 2226 nt
Filed under: Penaeus monodon (black tiger shrimp)
Lineage: Eukaryota; Metazoa; Arthropoda; Malacostraca; Decapoda; Penaeidae
Description: alkaline phosphatase-like, transcript variant X1
Source: RNAcentral